RNAcentral lists this long non-coding RNA (5708 nucleotides) under Phoenix dactylifera (date palm). RNAcentral's name for it is "long non-coding RNA (PDAC_LNC005721)". Lineage: Eukaryota; Viridiplantae; Streptophyta; Magnoliopsida; Arecales; Arecaceae. The record is from RNAcentral.
AUAAUAAAGCCAGGAGAUGGUAGGCCAAGGAAAGGUGAAGAGGAAAUGGGCUAUACAGGUGAAGAUGACAGAAGAACAGUAAGAAACUGAAUCCAAGUCGCAAAAUAUUGGAUAUCUUGCUGUACCCAUUGUACAAAGGACUGGCUCAGGUCAUCAUCUGAUUGGUUCCUAGAUAUUUCACAUAGUCGUAUGAGGAAGGGAUUAGCAAGAACAGGUGGGUUUUGAAACAUGAGGAAAACAGAAACGGUCGUCAGCUGCAAAGAUGUCAGAGGAGAAGACCCAACACAGUGGAGAUGGUCUUCUAAAUAACUAAACCAGUUUCCUCAAAGACCUGUUUGCAAAGAUGAGUGGUAGAAAAUAAUUUUAAAAAGAAAAUAUUCCCUCUGUUAAUGAUCAUGAAGAAACCUUUAAUACAAAUUUAAAGAAACUGGAAAGAGAAAAAGGUGUCCAAUAACAUAAAGAAGCAAUGCUGCUAAUGAUCAUUAGGAGCAUUUGAUACUAUUGCUCCCAGAAAAAUAAAUAGCUGAUAAAACAAUUAAUAAAACGCGUGUUAGAGCUGUAGCAAAAGUAAUGCUGGAUACAAUUCCUGUAUGUGCCUCAUUUCCACAGGGUACUUGCCACAUGACAUUUUUCGCAUAUCCAGCACCCAGAUUUUUAAGUGUCCAUGAACAGGACUCUGGUUGUAAUUGUUUUGGUCUACAGCGUAUGAACAAGUCUGGUCGGCCUAUUUCGAUCCUUGCAUAACCACUGGAGUCAAGGGGCUGCAAAUGAAAUCAACUAAUUAAAACUGUAUGUUUCAAAACUUGCAGAACUGACUCUGGCAAAUGUGAUUGAAGUUUAAACUACCAGAAAUUGUAGGGCAAAGAACACCAGUAAAUAGAAAAAUGGACAAACUAUGCUUCAAAGUUUCAGUGGAAAAUGACAAGAGCUAGUUCAGAGAUUCUUCUUAAGGUUAACUAUAUGAAACUGGUGCGAUACCUUCUAUAUGAUUUAAAAAAGUUUAAGAGAUCCCAAUGCUAUAAAAGGAGAAAUAUUCCCCGGAUAAGGAGUGAAAGCCAAAGUGUCUAACUAGAGCUGGCCCCACUAAUUUACAUUUAUUUAGGACCACUAUUCUAAUUUAAGUUUAAAGAAUAGAAAACCUCAUCAUAAAUAUAAUCUACACAUUAGAUUUACGUAUGUUGAAAUAACACUGAUCACGGAUUGUCUGCCCACUUGUUGCUGAGUUAUUGAGUACAACAUAAUCAACAUCCAGGUAUUGUAAAUGUAAAGACAUGCAUACAUGGUAAUACCCAUUUCGCUACAAUACUGUCAACCACCUCAUUUGCUGGAAAAGUGCUUGACUUCAUAUGUGCAAUCUGAUACAGGAAUUAAAGUAACUCAAAUAAAUUGCAAUUACAAGUUUUCUCAUGCAUUCAUCUCCAUUUCUUAUUUAAUAGAAAGCUUAUAUUCUAUGUGAUUCAAACUUCUAAUAAAUAUAAUGAUGAAUCUAAUAUAAAAAGUUUCAUAGGAGAAAACAAAACGAAGAACACAUCAGACAGAAGUAAGAAGAGACGCAUUGGUACCCUAAACAAUGAAUUACUCCAGCAACUUCAGACUCAGAAAGUCGGAAGUUCUACUCAAUAUAAGUCAGCGAGUUAGAAGUCACUGAAGCAAUUCAUUUGAAUCCAAAGAUCUUAGAGUCAGUAAAGAACACGAGAAUAAGGUAGUUCAAUUUUCAAUCCUCAUGGUUGGUUUGGUAUUUCCCUAAUAAAUAAGAUGGAGUCCAGAUGUCAUUUUCCAGUUUUAAGAUGGGUAAAGGGGGCCCUGUGGAGAUUUAAAUCAAGUUUAGAAUGAUUCAAAAAUCUUUACAUGGGGGACGCCAUAGGGAUUUAACUUUGUAGCUUUUCUGUCUCACUCCUCAAAAAGUCGGACUUUCAUUUCCCUGCUUCACGAUAUGAGGCCACACACACUCCCAACCACCCUCCCCACGUGCCUCUGAUCACAUUUUAUAUAUUUUGAUUGAAACAAAUUUUUUUGCUUCAUCUUUAUGAUGCUAACCAUUGCAUGAAGGUUGAUAAUGGACUUCAUGUAUAAUUUUUCUAGUUUCUGUUAUCCUUUGGCAUCUUACAACCCAAGGCUUCAAUAGUCACCCAUAUUACAAUAUAUCAAUGAUUGGACUUGAGACAAUUCUCCAACCAGUAUUGAAAAUUCAAUACAACGCACCAUCAAAACAAUAAUAAGCAUGCCUUUUAUACAGAAGAAAUAUCAUAUUCUCCAACUAUAUGCAUACAAUUAAGUUAAGAAGUUCAUUAGUUGUACACGAAAUGAUGAGGAAAAAAACUCAACACAUUUGGCAUUGAGAGCUUCCUAGUUGUUGAAUGUAACAAACUUUGAAUAAUUUAAGUUUGAUAUGUACAUUAUAUGCAUCCGCUAAACAAUUCACCAAUUUAAAUUACAAAUUUUAAUUAUAUAAAAUGCUAGUUUCAGCAUACAACCCUAAAUUGGACCAACCACACCUACCCAAGUUAGUUUAACAUGUUAGAUUGGACGUAGGUCAAAUCAAUUAUUUAAACGAUAGGAUUAGAGGGUCCAGAUUUUUGUCCGAGUUUAAUUUCAGCUGAAUCUUUAUGAACAGUAUCCAGUAUUUUUUUGGAUUACGAAGUUAAGAUUGUUCAAGUGUUUUAGAUUUUGUCAACUUCAUACCAAGAUGAAGUUCUUAUAUCCCAACUACAAAUGUUCACGGGCCGGCUGACGUUUCCUACCCACUCAAGCCCCAAGCCUUGUUGGGAGGCUUGGACCACGAUUUUAGGCCCGUAGGCAACCCAAACAUGGCCGGAUUCGGGCUUAGAGAUGAAAUUUUGGCCCAAGCUAGCCUGACCUAGAAUUUCUUUUAGCCCUGGGUUUUUAUGAUUAAACUCCUUGGUUUGUUGGUAUGUAAACUUACCGGGCAAAGAUCUACAAUCUUACGGUACUUUAUUUUAGUUAUCUAGUAUUCAAACUGCUGUUGGUAAUAUCUAGUUAUUCAUAUUUAGCAUUUUUUAUUUUUUUAAUUAAUAUCAUUAUUUUUUAAAUUGGGAAAAAUGGUCUGAAAGCUUGAAGCCCUGUCCAAAGUCCGAAGUUCAAGUAAGAGCCAGACUUGGACCUAGAAAAUAGGCACAAAGGUCAAGCUAAGCUAGGCCGAGAAUUAUGUAAAAUAUAUCAACCUUUGGGGAAAAUCCGGCCUAACCCUAGUUUCACCUAGCCUAUGAACGAAGUCUAAUUUCAACUCCUAAGUCAUGCGGUGCCUAUUAUUUUGUGGAGGGGCUCAUAGUCAAGGUGGGAAUGGUCUAUGUAAAAAUUUGGAUAAGGAACAUGCUCUUGUUUAUAUAUAUAUAUAUAUAUAUAUAUAUAUAUAUANNNNNNNNNNNNNNNNNNNNNNNNNNNNNNNNNNNNNNNNNNNNNNNNNNNNNNNNNNNNNNNNNNNNNNNNNNNNNNNNNNNNNNNNNNNNNNNNNNNNNNNNNNNNNNNNNNNNNNNNNNNNNNNNNNNNNNNNNNNNNNNNNNNNNNNNNNNNNNNNNNNNNNNNNNNNNNNNNNNNNNNNNNNNNNNNNNNNNNNNNNNNNNNNNNNNNNNNNGGGUGAUUCAAGAUCCAUGAAAUCAAAGUGGGAUAACCUGGCGCCAUUUCCAACCGGACAAGGGGAAUGGAAAUGCGGGCGGACAAUCGUUGUGCACCUUUGUAAAGUAAACACUAAACACUAUUGAGUUAAAUGAGUAAACGUCUAAUCCUUCAUGCAAUCCUAAUGCAUUGUACAUGUACAACUUACAUACCACUAACUACAUAUUUCUAAGCCAAUUAUAUGCCAAGGAAAGCAAAUGAUGCAAUUAUCCUUAAUUUGCUCAAACAUUCUUUUGUUUUAGACGUAAAGAGCUCUAGUGAUAUAGGUAUCCAAAAAUCUGCACAAACAAAAAAGUUUAGAAUGAAUAUAUAUGGAAAAUAAAGAAAUUACUUAGUGUUUCAAAUAAACAUAAUUCAUUCUUGAGGCAGUUAAAAUGGCUCAUUAAAUGUUAAUGCAUUACCUUUGAUACAUGUUAAUGCAUUAUCUUAAGUACUUUCUCCUUGAAGAUUCGUUUGCAUUCAAUGAACAAAGUAAAAAGAAAAAAUAGAGAAGACUUCAUUCUGAUUUUACUAUACUCUCCCACAGGAGCAGGCAUGAAACCUUGCGAAGCUGCCAAAAUCUUAGCAGUUCCGUAUAAAUCAGCUAGGCUCUGUUUUCCUGUCAAGCAAGCAUCCAUGUUGUUUCAUCAAGUCGUGCUGCGAUAGAACAACCAUCCUGCAAUAGAACUUGGACAGAUUUUAUAAAUCCAACGAACAGGCUCACAGCUUUCCAAGUUCAAUAUAAAAAAGUAAACAUCUCGACUACUUUUUUAGAAACAUCUCAAAAAAAUGCAGUUAGCUCCUACCAAAAUCACACCACAAAACCAUGGAGAGGGUCUGAUGAUAGAUAAACAUUUUCCAACGGACAGAAGCCAAUUGUAGUUGCCACAAUUUCAAGCAAAUCAAUUUGGAUCAAUACGAGCAAAUAAGAGUCUAAAAAGUAGCAGAGAAUAAGGGAAAUAUGUUGGUCUUGCAGAAACAAUGAGGGGGUUUCGAUUGAUCCUAUCCAGGGCUCUGUCUAGCAUAGUUAUAAACGUUUAAGAUUACACUAGAAAAAAGGUAGGAAUGUUAACAGCAAGCCUGCGUUCAUAAUAUUACUACCAAGCAGCUGAUCUGACGUAAAAAACUGAGACCAUGUCAGCUGCAUGAACGGUACAUCCAUUUCAAGAUAGUAGAGAUCUCUCAUUGGUAUACACAAUUUUAUGCAGGCCCAGACAAAGAUGAGUUACCUGCAUGCAUCUUAAAUGCAGGCUUCACCUGAAAAAAUGUUAAUGAGAAAAAAUGUUAAAUUUUUUAUGAGAAAAAAUGUUACCUGCAUGUAUCGACUUCUAUGGAUUAUGAGAAAAAAUGUUAAAUUUUUUGCUUUUCCUGUUUUCAUUUUUUUCUCCACCAGAGUGUUCUCUUAUAUGUUAACAAACCAACACAUGAAAUCCCAUCAAAGACAUUAGGUGAUCAAACAAUGGAACGAACUCGAUUGUUCAUCAAUCUUUUUCUACUAAAAUGACAAAUUACUUCCAUAUUGGAAACCUAUUGGGACAUGCAUUUUCACAAAAUUUCUGGAUAAAACCAUUGCCAGCAGCUGUAUUAUAAUAAAGCCAGGAGAUAGUAGGCCAAGGAAAGGUGAAGAGGAAAUGGGUUAUACAGGUGAAGAUGACAAAAGAACAGUAAGAAACUGAAUCCAAGUCGCAAAAUAUUGGAUAUCUUGUCGUACCCAUUGUACAAAGGAGUGGCUCAGGUCAUCAUCUGAUUGGUUCCUAUAUAUUUCACAUAGCAGGAUUAGGAAGGGAUUAGCAAGAACAGGUGGGUUUUGAAAUAUGAGGAUAAUAGAAACGGUUGUCAGCUGCAAAGAUGUCAGAGGAGAAGACCCAACACAGUGGAGAUGGUCUUCUAACUAACUAAACUAGUUUCCUCAUAGACUUGUUUGCAAAGAUGAGUGGUAGAAAAUAAUUUUAAAAAGAAAAUAUUCCCUCUGCUAAUGAUCAUGAAGAAACCUUUAAUUCCAAAUUUAAAGAAACUGGAAAGAGAAAAGGGCGUGCAAUAACAUAAAAAAGCAAUGCUGCUAAUGAUCAUAAGGAGCAUUUGAUACUAUUGCUCCC